This 62-nucleotide transfer RNA is filed under the name Hirudinaria manillensis. Its description in RNAcentral is "Poecilobdella manillensis tRNA-Ile". Lineage: Eukaryota; Metazoa; Annelida; Clitellata; Hirudinida; Hirudinidae. The record is from RNAcentral.
AACACUAAGCCGGAAUAACGGAUAACAUUGAUGAAGUUAAAUACGAGUAGAUUCUAGUGUUU